RNAcentral lists this ribosomal RNA (562 nucleotides) under uncultured archaeon. RNAcentral describes it as "bacterial SSU rRNA". It matches the Rfam family "Archaeal small subunit ribosomal RNA", at positions 97 to 660 of the family's 1478-position model. The record is from RNAcentral.
CACGUGGACAACCUACCCUUAGGUCGGGGAUAAACCCGGGAAACUGGGUAUAAUACCCGAUAGUCCUCGGAUGCUGGAAUGCACCGAGGUCUAAAGCUCCGGCGCCUAAGGAUGGGUCUGCGGCCUAUCAGGUAGUAGUGGGUGUAGCGUACCUACUAGCCUACGACGGGUACGGGUUGUGAGAGCAAGAGCCCGGAGAUGGAUUCUGAGACACGAAUCCAGGCCCUACGGGGUGCAGCAGGCGCGAAAACUUUACAAUGCUGGAAACAGCGAUAAGGGAACCUCGAGUGCCAGGUUACAAAUCUGGCUGUCGUGAUGCCUAAAAAGCAUUGCAUAGCAAGGGCCGGGCAAGACCGGUGCCAGCCGCCGCGGUAACACCGGCGGCUCGAGUGGUAACCGCUAUUAUUGGGUCUAAAGGGUCUGUAGCCGGCCGGAUAAGUCUUUUGGGAAAUCUGGCAGCUUAACUGUCAGGCUUUCAGAGGAUACUGUCUGGCUCGAGGCCGGGAGAGGUGAGAGGUACUUCAGGGGUAGGGGUGAAAUCUUGUAAUCCUUGAAGGACCAC